GAUGAAGAACGUAGCGAAAUGCGAUACGUAAUGUGAAUUGCAGAAUUCAGUGAAUCAUCGAGUCUUUGAACGCACAUUGCGCCCCCUGGUAUUCCGGGGGGCAUGCCUGUCCGAGCGUCAUUGCUGCCCUCAAGCACGGCUUGUGUGUUGGGCCUCCGUCCUCCUCCCGGGGGACGGGCCCGAAAGGCAGCGGCGGCACCGCGUCCGGUCCUCGAGCGUAUGGGGCUUCGUCACCCGCUCUUGUAGGCCCGGCCGGCGCUUGCCGACACAUCAAUCUUUUUUCCAGGUUGACCUCGGAUCAGGUAGGGAUACCCGCUGAACUUGAGCAUAUCAAUAAGCGGAGGA
This 345-nucleotide unclassified non-coding RNA is filed under the name soil metagenome. Its description in RNAcentral is "partial contains 5.8S ribosomal RNA, internal transcribed spacer 2, and large subunit ribosomal RNA". The stretch from base 1 to 120 matches the Rfam family "5.8S ribosomal RNA", at positions 35 to 154 of the family's 154-position model. The record is from RNAcentral.